RNAcentral lists this ribosomal RNA (253 nucleotides) under uncultured bacterium. RNAcentral describes it as "partial 16S ribosomal RNA". It matches the Rfam family "Bacterial small subunit ribosomal RNA", at positions 524 to 776 of the family's 1533-position model. The record is from RNAcentral.
UACAGAGGAGCCAAGCGUUGUCCGGAUUGACUGGGCGUAAAGCGCACGCAGGCGGUUGCGCGCGUGGGGUGUGAAAUCUGGCCGCUUAACGGCCAGGCGCCAUCCCAUACGGCGCGACUGGAGUGAUGCAGAGGUCGAUGGAAUUGCCGGUGUAGUGGUGAAAUGCGCAGAUAUCAGGAGGAACACCGGUGGCGAAGGCGGGUCUCUGGGCCGUAACUGACGCUGAGGAGCGAAAGCGUGGGGAGCGAACAGG